This 188-nucleotide unclassified non-coding RNA is filed under the name uncultured fungus. RNAcentral's name for it is "sequence contains ITS1". Lineage: Eukaryota; Fungi. The record is from RNAcentral.
AAGAGACUGGGUUCUCACGAGCCCGACCUCCAACCCUUUGUCUACCAAACCUCUGUUGCCUCGGCGGGCCGCCGGCUCCUUUGAUUAGGUGCCGCCGUCGGCCUCUGCGCUCUCGAGUGCCCGCCGCAGGACUAUACAAACUCUUUUUGAACAAGUAUAAUCUGAGUGGAUAUUUAAUGCUUCAAUUA